UGUGUAUGUAUGUGUGUAUUGGUGUGUAUUAGUGUGUAUUGGUAUGUAUGUGUGUAUUAGUGUGUAUUGUUGUGUAUUGGUAUGUAUGUGUGUAUUAGUGUGUAUUGGUAUGUAUUGGUGUGUAUUAGUGUGUAUUACUGUGUACUGGUAUGUAUGUGUGUAUUAGUGUGUGUAUGUGUGUAUUGGUCUGUAUGUGUGUAUCAGUAUGUAUUGGUGGGUAUUGGUCUGUGUGUGUGUAUUGGUAUGUAUGUGUGUAUUGGUGUGUAUUGGUAUGUAUGUGUGUAUUGGUGUGUAUUAGUGUGUAUUGGUGUGUAUUAGUGUGUAUUGGUAUGUAUGUGUGUAUUGGUGUGUAUUAGUGUGUAUUGGUAUGUAUGUGUGUAUG
Long non-coding RNA from Ictalurus punctatus (channel catfish), 382 nucleotides. Lineage: Eukaryota; Metazoa; Chordata; Actinopteri; Siluriformes; Ictaluridae. The record is from Ensembl.